GAUGAACGCUAGCUACAGGCUUAACACAUGCAAGUCGAGGGGUAACGAGAGGAAAGCUUGCUUUCCUUGUCGACGACCGGCGCACGGGUAAGUAACGCGUAUCCAACCUGCCCCCAACUAGGGAAUAACCUUGCGAAAGUAAGACUAAUACCCUAUAAUUUCCUCAGAUGUCAUCUGACGAGGAAUAAAGAUUUAUCGGUUGUGGAUGGGGAUGCGUCUGAUUAGCUUGUUGGCGGGGUAACGGCCCACCAAGGCAACGAUCAGUAGGGGUUCUGAGAGGAAGGUCCCCCACAUUGGAACUGAGACACGGUCCAAACUCCUACGGGAGGCAGCAGUGAGGAAUAUUGGUCAAUGGGCGGAAGCCUGAACCAGCCAAGUAGCGUGCAGGAUGACGGCCCUAUGGGUUGUAAACUGCUUUUAUACAGGAAUAAAGUUAGCCACGUGUGGUUAUUUGUAGGUACCGUAUGAAUAAGGACCGGCUAAUUCCGUGCCAGCCGCCGCAGUAA
RNAcentral lists this ribosomal RNA (506 nucleotides) under uncultured bacterium. Its description in RNAcentral is "partial 16S ribosomal RNA". It matches the Rfam family "Bacterial small subunit ribosomal RNA", at positions 28 to 523 of the family's 1533-position model. The record is from RNAcentral.